GUAGUCAUAUGCUUGUCUCAAAGAUUAAGCCAUGCAUGUCUAAGUAUAAGCAAUUAUACAGCGAAACUGCGAAUGGCUCAUUAUAUAAGUUAUCGUUUAUUUGAUAGUACCUUACUACUUGGAUAACCGUGGUAAUUCUAGAGCUAAUACAUGCUAAAAAUCCCGACUUCGGAAGGGAUGUAUUUAUUAGAUUAAAAACCAAUGCCCUCUGGGCUCCUCGGUGAUUCAUGAUAACUUCUCGAAUCGCAUGGCCUUGUGCCGGCGAUGGUUCAUUCAAAUUUCUUCCCUAUCAACUUUCGAUGUUUGGGUAGUGGCCAAACAAGGUUGCAACGGGUAACGGGGAAU
Molecule: ribosomal RNA, 345 nt
Filed under: Myrothecium gramineum
Lineage: Eukaryota; Fungi; Ascomycota; Sordariomycetes; Hypocreales; Stachybotryaceae
Description: SSU rRNA
Rfam family: Eukaryotic small subunit ribosomal RNA
Source: RNAcentral